RNAcentral lists this ribosomal RNA (200 nucleotides) under uncultured organism. RNAcentral's name for it is "partial small subunit ribosomal RNA". It matches the Rfam family "Bacterial small subunit ribosomal RNA", at positions 1182 to 1382 of the family's 1533-position model. The record is from RNAcentral.
ACGUCAAGUCAGCAUGGCCUUUAUAUCCAGGGCGACACACACGCUACAAUGGCCGGUACAAUGGGCAGCGAAGUCGCGAGGCGGAGCGAAUCCAGAAAGCCGGUCGUAGUUCGGAUUGCAGGCUGCAAUUCGACUCCAUGAAGGCGGAAUCGCUAGUAAUCGCGGAUCAGCACGCCGCGGUGAAUACGUUCCCGGGCCUU